AACGCGAAGAACCUUACCUGGUCUUGACAUCUACGGAGCCCUGCAGAGAUGCGGGGGUGCCUUCGGGAACCGUAAGACAGGUGCUGCAUGGCUGUCGUCAGCUCGUGUCGUGAGAUGUUGGGUUAAGUCCCGCAACGAGCGCAACCCUUGUCCUUAGUUGCCAGCAUUCAGUUGGGAACUCUAAGGAGACCGCCGGUGACAAACCGGAGGAAGGUGGGGAUGACGUCAAGUCAUCAUGGCCUUUAUGACCAGGGCUACACACGUGCUACAAUGCCCGGUACAGCGCGUCGCGAACUCGCGAGAGGGAGCCAAUCGCUAAAAGCCGGGCUAAGUUCGGAUUGCAGUCUGCAACUCGACUGCAUGAAGCCGGAAUCGCUAGUAAUCGCGGAUCAGCCAGCCGCGGUGAAUACGUUCCCGGGCCUUGUACACACCGACUGUAC
This 440-nucleotide ribosomal RNA is filed under the name uncultured bacterium. RNAcentral describes it as "bacterial SSU rRNA". It matches the Rfam family "Bacterial small subunit ribosomal RNA", at positions 958 to 1399 of the family's 1533-position model. The record is from RNAcentral.